UAAUGAAGAAUCCCAUUGAUACAACCAUCAAUCAAGAGAUUUGAUUAAGUCAACCUUAAUUAUGUAUUAUAAUCAUGUACAGAUAUUAGUUUCCUAAUUAGUCACUUUGAUACCUGUAUAUAUACUCAUUCAUAUCAAUGAAUAAAAUCAUCUUCUUACAAUAUCAAAUCCUUUAUGGUAUCAGAGCGCAAGCUGUAAAAGAAAAGCUUGCAGGCUCACCACAUUCUUCUUUUCCUUCCUUUUCCUCCAAAACUCAACCAACAACCAUGACUUCUUCUAACAUCUCUCACACAAACUCUUCAUCCUCUACCUCUGUCUCCACUCAAGUUACUCUAUCAGGGACUCGUGUACCCAACCAAACCUCAUCCAUUGUAGCAAUUAACACAAUACAGGUUCCCAUCAAACUUUCAAAAGGUGGGAAUUAUGCUGCCUGGCAAUCUCAAUUUGAGAAUCUUCUCUUUGGGUAUGGGCUCGUGGGAUUUUUGGAUGGCACUCAUCCCUGUCCAGCAAAAAAUAUUGAAGAUGCUGCAACCAAACAAUUGAUUCCAAAUCCAAAUCACCUCACCUGGCUUCGACAAGAUCGGUUAAUUCUCCAUGUCAUUCAAGUCUCAUGCAUGGGUACUGCACAAUCUAUUAUUUCUCACUCUAGAACAUCUGUUUAAGCGUGGACAAAGCUCAAAGCCGCCUACGCAAACAGAUCUAAUACUCGUAAGCUUAGUCUUCUAGGCUCGCUCACAAAUGUCAGUUUAUAAGGCAAAUCAGUUGCCGAAUAUAUGCAGGAAAUCAAAACUAUACUCGACGAUCUUGAACUCAUUGGUCAUACGGUGGAUGAAGGCGCUGUUGUCAUACAUAUCCUCAAUGGUCUUGGCCCCUCUUACAUGUCUCUUGUGUCUACAAUCCAUGCUCGAGACACUCCAAUUUCUUUUGAAGAACUUUAUGAUAAACUACUCGAUCAAGAGUCAGUUCUUCGGCGUAAUGAAGUGAAAAAGGGAGGUACACCAAUCACAGCUCACUAUAAUCAGAAAAGCUCCAACCGAAAAGGGCGAGGCUGCACUACCAACAAUCCAACCAUCACAGGUCAUUCUCAAUAAAUUGGUUCUUACAAUAAUUUCAGUCCACACUCUAGUAAUAAUGGCAGUCGUGGUUCCUCAUCAAAUCAACGUGGCUAUCAUUGACCCAAUAACAACCAUUUGUCUAACCAGCAACAUUAGCGUCCUCCUCUCUCCCAUGGUACUUCCCAACUUGUUUGCCAACUUUGUGACAGAGCUGGUCACAUUGCUCAUACCUGUUGAUCUCGUCCUCCUCCAAGAUCCCAACUGUGGCCUCAAGCUAAUCACAUGACUGCCGAGCAAUCUACACUUUGCAACAAUUGGAUACUUGACAUGGGGGAAUCUCAUCAUAUGACAUCAGAUCUGCACAAUCUGUCACUCCACUCUGAAUAUGGCGGUACUGAAGAUAUUAUGGUCGGGGACGGAUCUGACUACGGGGGCAUCCUUGGUCCGCGGCCAGAAUGACGGGAACCUCUAUGCUUGGCCAACGUCAACUAUAUAUGGCAAUACAACUCCUCAAACUUACAUGACCUUGUCCUCACCUCCUACCUCAUUAGAUUGGCAUCAUCGUUUAGGCCACCCAUCUCUUCCAAUUCUCCAACAAAUCCUCUCCUCUCACAAUCUCCCUGCUUCCAAAUUAAACUCUAAGUUUUCUCAUUGUAAUGCUUGCUUAUGUAACAAAAGUUACAAAUUACCAUUUAGUGUUUCAACACUACAAUGCAAUAAACCAUUAGAAGUUCUAUUUACUGAUGUUUGGAGUCCUGCUCAUUUAUCAUCCUUCAACCACUAUCGGUACUAUAUUAUUUUUGUAGAUUGUUUCACCAAGUACACGUAGUUAUAUUUGCUUAAAAACAAAUCAGAUGUUACUCAAAUAUUUCCUCGAUUGAAAACACUUAUCAAAAAUUUCUUCAACUCUAAAAUCAAAACUAUUUACUCAAAUUCUAGUGGUGAAGCUCAAUUACUUGGCCAUCUUUUAGCUGCUCAUGUUAUUCAACAUCUCAAAUCACCCCCUCAUACACCUGAUCAUGUCAGCCUUGCAGAACGAAAACACCGCCAUAUAGUCGAAACUGCCUUAACUCUGCUCCAUCAUGCUUUAAUGCCCCUUAAAUUUUGGUCACUAGCCUUCCAAGCAGCUGUAUAUUUAAUCAACCGAAUGCCCACUAAAACUCUCAAUAACAACACCCCCUAUUUCAGCAUUUUUCAUAAAGAACCCAACUACAAAAAAUUACGCAUAUUUGGGUGCUUGUGUUAUCCAUGGCUUCGCCCCUAUACAACUCACAAGCUACAACCACGAUCAAAACCAUGUGCCUUUGUCGGGUAUUCACUAGAAAACAAUGCUUAUCUUUGCCUAGACCCACAAACUAAUCGCAUCUAUAUAUCUCGCCAUGUCGUGUUCAUCGAAAGUAUUUUUUCUUUUAUAAAGCAUACUGCAAAUUCAAUCACUGAUAUCUCUACUACCAUCCUAAACUGGCUACAACCUCAAUCUGUCUCAUCACUCUCUAAUGAUUUUCUAUCUCCUACCCCUGAAUCCACCCCUCCUCACCUAAUCUUAAAUACCCAUUUACCAAUCGCUCCGUCCAUAUCAUCUCCUUCCUCAAAUCAACCAUAUUAGAAAAUUCACUCCCUCACUCCACUAAUAUCACUCUUGAAGAUUCUGCUACUACCCAACAACCUAACAAGCAUGGAGGCGCCAUUGAUUCUGUACGGGGACCUGACCUCGAUCCCGUGCAAUCAACGUCACAAGUAAAUACACAAACCCAUAUCUCUUCACCUCCACAAAGCAUCCAAACCCGUUCUAAAAAUAAUAUAUUUAAACCCAAACCCAUUUUUGACCUCCACACCACGACCCAAUCCCCUCCUCAAAAUGAGCCGACCACAAUUGCCCAAGCUCGCAAGUAUGAAGAAUGGCGUUAUGCUCUGAGUAGGCCGAAUAUGAUGCUCUUAUUCAAAACUCAACCUGGUCCUUAGUUCCUUCAUCCUUCUCAAAACAUUGUCGGUUGUAAGUGAGUUUUCAGAAUUAAAAGAAAUCCUGAUGGCUCUAUGGCUCAUUAUAAAGCCCGUCUUAUCGCAAAAGGAUUCCACCAAAGGCCAUGAAUUGAUUUUGUCGAGACCUUUAGUCCUGUUGUUAAAUCUGUCACUAUUCGUUUAAUUCUAACAAUUGUUGUGACUAACAGCUGGUCUAUCCGCUAGCAAGAUGUUAAUAAUGCCUUCUUGCAGGGCACUCUUACGGAUAAUGUUUACAUGAAACAACUACCUAGAUUUAUUCACUCCCAACUUCCGAGACAUGUUUGCAAACUGAAGAAAGCCAUUUAUGGUCUCCGGCAGGCUCCUCGUGCAUGGUACCAUGAGCUUCGCACUUUUUUACUUCAGUCUGGGUUCACCAAUUCCACCUGCGAUGCAUCUCUAUUUGUUCGGCAUUGUUCAGAUUACACUAUGUACUUACUGGUAUAUGUCGACGAUAUCAUCGUCACUGGCUCAUCCACAUCAAGAAUCCAAGACUUUAUACAUACUCUAGCUUGCCGGUUCUCCAUCAAAGAUCUUGGCACAUUGACCUACUUCCUUGGUGUUGAGGCGUAUACCACAACUCGAGGGCUGUUCUUAUCUCAGAAAAAGUAUAUUAGUGAUCUCCUCCACAAGACCCAUAUGCAAGAUGCCAAAGCUGUGUCCAUACCACUUUCCUCAACUAAGACCUUGACACUCAAUGAUGGUAGUACUCCUACAGAUGCCAUUCAAUACUGCUAAGUAGUUGGAUCACUUCAGUACCUCUCAUUGACUCGCCCAGAUGUCUCAUUUGUAGUAAACAAACUUUCUCAAUUCAUGCAUCGCCCAACCAGUCUUCAUUGGAACUCUAUCAAACGUGUUCUUCGUUAUCUCAAAGGCACUCUUGAUUAUAGCUUGCUCAUUCGACGAAAUUCUACUCUCAACCUUCAUACGUUUUCCGAUGAUGAUUGGGCAGGUGACUCUGAUGAUCGUCAUGGGGGCCACUCCAAUAAGUUGGAGUUCCAAGAAGCAAAAUAUUGUUGCUCGCUCUUCCACUGAAGCAGAAUAUCGAGCAAUUGCAUCCUUUGCUGCAGAACUCAACUUCGUCAGCCAUCUUUUAUCGAAACAUCAUAUUCAACUGCCCAGCACUCCUGUCAUUUACUGCGACAAUAUUGGUGCCACAUAUGUUUAUGCCAAUCCUAUUUUUCAUAGCCGAAUGAAACAUGUUGCUAUAGAUUUCUUCUUCGUUCGCGACCAGGUGGCAAGGAAUCAGUUACGCAUCUCUCAUAUCCAUAUCAAUGAUCAACUGGUAGACUCAUUAACAAAGGCUCUACCUCGUCGGAAAUUUCAUAAUCAUUGGUCCAAGAUAGGCAUCCUAGAAAGACGCUCUAUCUUGCGGGGGCAUGAUAGCACUGAUAAUGAAGAAUCACAUUGAUACAGCCAUCAAUCAAGAUAUUUGAUUAAGUCAACCUUAAUUAUGUAUUAUAAUCAUGUACAUAUAUUAGUUUCCUAAUUAGUCACUUUGAUACCUGUAUAUAUACUCAUUCAUAUCAAUGAAUAAAAUUAUCUUCUCACAAUAUCAAAUCCUUUAUUAUGGGAUCAAGGAUAUGUAUGGAAAGUAGGAGAUGGUUAUUCAAUU
Ricinus communis (castor bean) is the source of this 4668-nucleotide long non-coding RNA. RefSeq lists it as uncharacterized. NCBI's taxonomy places the organism in Eukaryota, Viridiplantae, Streptophyta, Magnoliopsida, Malpighiales, Euphorbiaceae. The record is from RefSeq and is a predicted model, not a curated record. The transcript has 2 exons.